UACGUAGGGUGCGAGCGUUGUCCGGAAUUACUGGGCGUAAAGAGCUCGUAGGUGGUUUGUCGCGUUGUCCGUGAAAACUCACAACUCAAUUGUGGGCGUGCGGGCGAUACGGGCAGACUGGAGUACUGCAGGGGAGACUGGAAUUCCUGGUGUAGCGGUGGAAUGCGCAGAUAUCAGGAGGAACACCGGUGGCGAAGGCGGGUCUCUGGGCAGUAACUGACGCUGAGGGACGAAAGCUAGGGGAGCGAAUGGG
Molecule: ribosomal RNA, 253 nt
Filed under: uncultured bacterium
Lineage: Bacteria
Description: partial 16S ribosomal RNA
Rfam family: Bacterial small subunit ribosomal RNA
Source: RNAcentral